Molecule: ribosomal RNA, 453 nt
Filed under: uncultured Nitratireductor sp.
Lineage: Bacteria; Pseudomonadati; Pseudomonadota; Alphaproteobacteria; Hyphomicrobiales; Phyllobacteriaceae
Description: bacterial SSU rRNA
Rfam family: Bacterial small subunit ribosomal RNA
Source: RNAcentral
AGAGUUUGAUCAUGGCUCAGAACGAACGCUGGCGGCGUGCUUAACACAUGCAAGUCGAACGGGCUCUUCGGAGCUAGUGGCGGACGGGUGAGUAAUACAUAGGAAAUCUGCCUUUAAGUGGGGGACAACAAUCCGAAAGGGUUGCUAAUACCGCGUAAUGUCGUUGGUUGAAAUGCAAACGAAGAAAGAUUUAUCGCUUUUAGAGGAGCCUAUGCUUGAUUAGCUAGUUGGUGGGGUAAAAGCCUACCAAGGCGACGAUCAAUAGCUGGUCUGAGAGGACGAUCAGCCACACUGGGACUGAGACACGGCCCAGACUUCUACGGAAGGCAGCAGUGGGGAAUUUUCCGCAAUGGGCGCAAGCCUGACGGAGCGACGCCGCGUACGGGAUGAAGUAUUUAGGUAUGUAAACCAUUGUCAGUGGGGACGAAACAAAUGACGGUACCCACAGAGAAG